This 407-nucleotide ribosomal RNA is filed under the name uncultured bacterium. RNAcentral's name for it is "partial 16S ribosomal RNA". It matches the Rfam family "Bacterial small subunit ribosomal RNA", at positions 30 to 526 of the family's 1533-position model. The record is from RNAcentral.
AUUGAACGCUGGCGGCAGGCCUAACACAUGCAAGUCGAGCGGAGCGGCGGACGCGUGAGUAAUGUCUGGGAAACUGCCUGAUGGAGGGGGAUAACUACUGGAAACGGUAGCUAAUACCGCAUACCCUCUGAUGUGCCCCGAUGGGAUUAGCUAGUUGGUGGGGUAAAGGCGUACCAAGGCGACGAUCCGUAACUGGUCUGAGAGGAUGAUCAGUCACACUGGAACUGAGACACGGUCCAGACUCCUACGGGAGGCAGCAGUGGGGAAUAUUGGACAAUGGGCGAAAGCCUGAUCCAGCCAUGCCGCGUGUGUGAAGAAGGUCUUCGGAUUGUAAAGCACUUUAAGUUGGGAGGCGUUACCAACAGAAUAAGCACCGGCUAACUUCGUGCCAGCAGCCGCGGUAAUUC